This is a long non-coding RNA of Frankliniella occidentalis (western flower thrips), 2003 nucleotides long. RefSeq lists it as uncharacterized. NCBI's taxonomy places the organism in Eukaryota, Metazoa, Arthropoda, Insecta, Thysanoptera, Thripidae. The record is from RefSeq and is a predicted model, not a curated record. The transcript is spliced from 7 exons.
CAGCCACAACCAGUCACCUCUAUCUACAGUUGCCAGCAUCCAACUCAUCAUGCUUCCAUGUGAGGAGAGGUCUUCUGUCUGCUUUCUCCGCCAAACAGCCCGUCACCUCUGUCUACAUUGAGGGAUCCAACUCGCUCACUUUCCUAUAAUUCGGAGAGGAAAAUUUUGCGUCUUUACAGGGCACUCUCAGCCACAACAAGCAUUCCACAUUAGUUUUGAAUACUCUCAUUUUCUUGAUUUUUUUUAUGAGGUGGUUGUGUUUAUCUACUAGACAUUUUAUGGAAGAAAGGUCUUUAAGAUUUGUUCACAUGGCGUUUUGAAGGUCUGGUUUUCACCAAAGAUGAACUCCUACUGGUCGCAGCCUAUUAUCAUUUCAUUCUCGAUCUAGUUCCCAACUCAUGAAUACUGAGUUUCCAAUUGGUACUCAAAUUUUUGCUCUUUGAGGUGUUCAUUUAUUAAAAGCAGUCUAACAAGUAGGACAGCGCAGCACAUUUCCUUGGUCAGUCCAGAUCUUAUCGUCCAACUUUCACAUAUGACCAUCAGGUAUUCAAUGUCACAAUCAAAGAUCGUUUUGAUGCCUCGAAGAUAUAAGGAGAGAUUCCGAGCAAAUGGAUAUUCCCAGUAUGCAUCUGUUUUGUUGAUGCUGCUAGCUGCUUGUCUCCAUCAGGUUUUCUCAAGCGAAAAGCAAUGUCUAAAAAUUUCUGGCAGCACAUCCAAUACAUCAGCUAAAUGACAACUGCAGAAAAUACAAAAAUCAAUUGCUGUGGCUGCUGUACAUUAAGAGUGAUGAAUAUAUGAAGAGUUCUGAAUGCAUAACUGACAUGUUAUGUGCUGAAAACUAAUUUCUAACUACGUGAUCCAGGAGCAUUCAUAAUUUCAAAUGGACUCAGAACUUGGGUUUAAUAGCUCUGCUUGCCCUACGACUUCAACUUCACAUUUUUAUUAUCUCUGAUUAAUGUAUGUUUUUGUUUAAAAAUACUGCCACAGGUGAUGGGUGAUGGAAAUGUAUUAUUUUCGUAUGUUGCAAUAAAUUUGCUUUUGUUGGUAAUUAAAACACGAACACUACUCAGGAAGGACACAAGUAAGAGAUUGUACUGAAAUACUGAGUCACUGAUCAAUAUUUUCACUUCACCUUAAAGUGUUUCACACACCCCCACAUUUCUUCCCACAAAUACGGAAUCGGAAAUUACAUUUUUCCGGGUUGGCUUUCUACAAAAAGACAACUAUAGUAGCCGUAACAAAAGGCAAACGUUUUUAAUAAAUAUAUUGUCAAUUCAGAAAAUGAGGCUAAUUAACCGCAUCAUUUUGUCUGUAAAGUAAAGUGGGGACGAAAAGAACCAAUCCUGAUGCAGAUUUCCAAAUCUCAGCUUUCAAAUAACGCUUAUUUCUGUCUACACUCUUGCUUUGCUGGCGUCUCCUUCGUAAUCUGUUUCCGUUGUUUGUUUCCCACUUGCGUUCAACGGGCAUGACCCGAAAUAUUCCAUUUUGACAUUGAUUGGAAGUGGUUCCAGAAAAAAAAUUACCUGUGAGGAAAUGGACAAACUUAGCCAAAAAUGUGCGGUACUGGUUCCGCGCACUUUUCUGGCCCAGUUUGGCAACAUUUCGCCAUUGCUCCCUUGAAUGACCAACAAUUACAAAGUGCUCUUUUCAAUCGAACUUGGUUCUUUCAGCCUGCUAUUACUGGCUUGAAGCCAAGUUAACCUUUCUCCUUGGGUAGGUCAGGGUCAGGUCUGUUAGAUUGACAGCAACCGGUUUCAAAAAGUGUUUGGACCUGGAACAUGUGUCUAUCAGAUGGUAUCGCAUUGUAUAAUACUUUUUAGUAUAUCUUGAACUCAGCCAAUUAUGCAAACUGUCGACUUAUUAGAUUUUAAAGCUUUUUUCGACAUUUUCUCUAACCAGACUAGGAGAAAGAUUGGCGCGGCUUUCCUAAAUGACUGUUUUAUAUUCCAUCACAUGCUCGAUCCGAGAAGUUUUGAAAAAUCAAUAAAUUUCAUUAUUACCUA